This 561-nucleotide ribosomal RNA is filed under the name uncultured marine bacterium. RNAcentral's name for it is "bacterial SSU rRNA". It matches the Rfam family "Bacterial small subunit ribosomal RNA", at positions 66 to 672 of the family's 1533-position model. The record is from RNAcentral.
ACGAAGUAGCAAUACUUAGUGGCAGACGGGUGAGUAACAUGUAGGUAUCUGCCCUUUGGCCUGGAAUAACACGAGGAAACUUGUGCUAAUACCGGAUAAGUCUUUACGGAGAAAGCUUUAUGCACCAUUGGAUGAGCCUGCACUUGAUUAGUUUGUUGGUGGGGUAAUGGCCUACCAAGACUGUGAUCAAUAGCUGAUUUGAGAGGAUGAUCAGCCACAUUGGGACUGAGACACGGCCCAAACUCCUACGGGAGGCAGCAGUGGGGAAUCUUGCACAAUGGAGGAAACUCUGAUGCAGCGAUGCCGCGUGAGUGAAGAAGGCCCUUGGGUUGUAAAGCUCUUUCGUCGGGGAAGAAAAUGACUGUACCCGAAUAAGAAGGUCCGGCUAACUUCGUGCCAGCAGCCGCGGUAAUACGAAGGGACCUAGCGUAGUUCGGAAUUACUGGGCUUAAAGAGUUCGUAGGUGGUUGAAAAAGUUAGUGGUGAAAUCCCAGAGCUUAACUCUGGAACUGCCAUUAAAACUUUUCAGCUAGAGUAUGAUAGAGGAAAGCAGAAUUUCUA